Molecule: transfer RNA, 67 nt
Filed under: Davidius fruhstorferi
Lineage: Eukaryota; Metazoa; Arthropoda; Insecta; Odonata; Gomphidae
Description: tRNA-His
Source: RNAcentral
AUUUAAGUAGUUUAAUUAAAAAUUUUGGUUUGUGGUACCGAUGUUGUAAAUUUAUUUACCUUAAAUC